CGGAGGGCGCGAGCGUUGUUCGGAAUUAUUGGGCGUAAAGCGCACGUAGGCGGCUUUGUAAGUCUCACUGUGAAAGCCCGGGGCUCGACCCCGGGAGGCCAGGGGAUACUGCGAGGCUGGAGACAAGCAGAGGUCGGUAGAAUUCCGGGUGUAGCGGUGGAAUGCGUAGAGAUCCGGAGGAAUACCAGAGGCGAAGGCGGCCGACUGGGCUUGUUCUGACGCUGAGGUGCGAAAGCGUGGGGAGCGAACAGGAUUAGAUACCCUGGUAGUCCACGCCGUAAACGAUGGGCACUAGAUGCCGGUGGGAUCGACCCCUUCGGUGUCGCAGCUAACGCAUUAAGUGCCCCGCCUGGGGAUACGGCCGCAAGGCUG
Molecule: ribosomal RNA, 372 nt
Filed under: uncultured organism
Description: bacterial SSU rRNA
Rfam family: Bacterial small subunit ribosomal RNA
Source: RNAcentral